This is a non-coding RNA of Gorilla gorilla gorilla (western lowland gorilla), 167 nucleotides long. NCBI's taxonomy places the organism in Eukaryota, Metazoa, Chordata, Mammalia, Primates, Hominidae. The record is from Rfam.
GCCAGGCUGAUAGGAUGUCCACAUUAAGUUCAGCAUCAGUAUGGUGAUCUCCAGGGAGCAGGGGACCACCUGGUUGCCUAAAGAGGUGUGAACUGGCCCAGGUUGGAAAUAGAGCAGAUCCAAACUCCCACGUGCUGAUCAGUAGUGGAAUCGUGCCUGUGAGAGGC